UCUUGAACUAUUGCAGCGUUUGGGGUGUAGGGACACCCACAGCUCCAUUCGGAGGUGGAUCCACUAACAGCAAAGGAAGCUCAAUACAAUUCCCCGUCAGUCAAAACUCACUGGAAGCCUGAAGAAAACCAAAUUACCUUUCCAGCACGAAUUGUUGUAAGCAGUGACGUUUAUCUGAUAAGUCAGAGAGCUUCUCGAAAUGCACCAGGCAUCCGGUGUCUCUCACCAACCAGUAGAAGCAUCCAGAGGAAGUAAAUUAAAUCUGCCAUCUGACCAGUAUGUGCCUCCAGAACUACACUGAUAUGGUGACCUCUGAGGUGGCCCACGGAA
This is a non-coding RNA of Chiloscyllium plagiosum (whitespotted bambooshark), 330 nucleotides long. Lineage: Eukaryota; Metazoa; Chordata; Chondrichthyes; Orectolobiformes; Hemiscylliidae. The record is from RefSeq and is a predicted model, not a curated record.